UAAUAUUAAACCAUUUUCAAA
This 21-nucleotide non-coding RNA is filed under the name Caenorhabditis elegans. The record is from RNAcentral. Lineage: Eukaryota; Metazoa; Nematoda; Chromadorea; Rhabditida; Rhabditidae.